RNAcentral lists this ribosomal RNA (374 nucleotides) under uncultured bacterium. RNAcentral's name for it is "bacterial SSU rRNA". It matches the Rfam family "Bacterial small subunit ribosomal RNA", at positions 28 to 407 of the family's 1533-position model. The record is from RNAcentral.
GACGAACGCUGGCGGCGUGCUUAACACAUGCAAGUCGAGCGGUAAGGCCCUUUCGGGGUACGACGAGCGGCGAACGGGUGAGUAACACGUGGGUGACCUGCCCUUAGCUCUGGGAUAAGCCUGGGAAACUGGGUCUAAUACCGGAUAUGACUCCAUAACGCAUGUUGUGGGGUGGAAAGCCUUGUGCGGCUAGGGAUGGGCCCGCGGCCUAUCAGCUUGUUGGUGGGGUGAUGGCCCACCAAGGCGACGACGGUAGCCGGCCUGAGAGGGCGACCGCCACACUGGGACUGAGACACGGCCCAGACUCCUACGGGAGGCAGCAGUGGGAAUCUGCGCAAUGGGCGAAAGCCUGACGCAGCGACGCCGCGUGGGGA